CAGAGUUGCAAAACUCCCCAAACCAUCGUGAACCUUUACCGCUAAACAGUUUGCUUCGGCGGGUGGCCAGGGGGGCGCGCGCGCAAGCCCGCCCCCGGCCGCCGAGCCCGCCGGAGGAAUCCAAAAAAACCAUCGCUUUCAGUACCGGCCCUCUCUGAGUUACUGUACUUUUAAUUAAGUCA
This 182-nucleotide unclassified non-coding RNA is filed under the name soil metagenome. Its description in RNAcentral is "partial internal transcribed spacer 1". The record is from RNAcentral.